This 275-nucleotide long non-coding RNA is filed under the name Ananas comosus (pineapple). Its description in RNAcentral is "long non-coding RNA (ACOM_LNC037320)". The record is from RNAcentral. Lineage: Eukaryota; Viridiplantae; Streptophyta; Magnoliopsida; Poales; Bromeliaceae.
GCACGAGCGAACAUAGGUCGCGUAGGCUAACUCCGAAGUGCCGGCUUGUAGGGAGCGACCCUCACAAGCAUGUGCGAAUGAGCACAAAUGGCAAGCAAGCAUAGUCCAAGUCUCAAGUGUCCAACCCUCAUGUCUCUAACAUGGUAUAGUCACUAGCAUCUUGAAGAUCUAGUUCUAAGUCACAAAUGAAGUUCCAACAUUCUCUAGGUCUAGUGCCCCUUUAUGACACUUAGACAUUUAAUGUUUAAGCAUGUUCCACAUUCCUCAAUGGCCCU